ACGGGAGUAGGGGCAAGAUCUGUCUGAUAAGAUUGGGGAUAGAUGGCAAGAGGGUGUGGGGGCCUGAGGGUACAUGGCGGCGCCUCACACAAGACCUACCCAAUCAGAAUCUCCAGAUAAAACCGGUGUAAAACCGCCUCUGGCGCUUUGAGUCUGUCACUCUCAGCCCAGGGUCCUGGAUUCCUGACCACUCCACAUAUCAUGUGGGAUCUUAGUUCUCUGACCAGGGAUCACACCCACACCCCCUGCAUUGGACAUAUGGAGUCUUAACCAUUGGAACACCAGGGAAGUACCCUGAUCUCUUUUUCGGAGAUCUUCCUGACCCAGGGAUUGAACCUGCAUCUCCUGUGACUCCUGCCUUGCAAGCAGAUUCUUUACUGCUAAGCCACCGGGGAAACCCAUAGUUAUUCAAUAUUUCUAUACAUUUCAAAAUGAUCACCAAGAUAAGUCUGACUAUGUUAUGUUACCACUCAGAGAUAUUACAUUAUUAUUGGCUAUAUUCCCUACACUGUGCAUUUCAUAUGUAUGACUCAUUUAUUUUGCAGCUAGAAGUUUGUGCCUCAAUCUGCCUUACCUAUUUUCCUUCUCCCUCAGGCCCCUCCCCUCUGGCAAUUACCUGUUUGUUCUCCACAUCUAUGAUGCUAUUUCUACUUUGUUGUUUGCACACUUGUUAUUUUGU
Bos taurus (domestic cattle) is the source of this 679-nucleotide long non-coding RNA. Lineage: Eukaryota; Metazoa; Chordata; Mammalia; Artiodactyla; Bovidae. The record is from Ensembl.